AUACGUAGGGGGCAAGCGUUAUCCGGAUUUACUGGGUGUAAAGGGAGCGUAGACGGAAGGCCAAGUAUGAUGUGAAAGCCCGCGGCUCAACUGCGGGACUGCAUUGGAAACUGGUCAUCUGGAGUGCAGGAGGGGUAAGCGGAAUUCCUAGUGUAGCGGUGAAAUGCGUAGAUAUUUGGAGGAACACCGGUGGCGAAGGCGGCUUUCUGUACUAUAACUGGCGUUGUGGCUCGAAAGCGUGGGGAGCAAACAGAAUUAUAUACCCUGUUAGUCCACGCCGUAAACGAUGAAUACUAGGUGUCGGGUUUCUAUAGAGAUUCGGUGCCGCAGCAAACGCAAUAAGUAUUCCACCUGGGGAGUACGUUCGCAAGAAUGAAACUCAAAUGAAUUGACGGGG
This 397-nucleotide ribosomal RNA is filed under the name uncultured bacterium. RNAcentral describes it as "partial 16S ribosomal RNA". It matches the Rfam family "Bacterial small subunit ribosomal RNA", at positions 523 to 918 of the family's 1533-position model. The record is from RNAcentral.